AGAAAACUCCUCAGAGCCUCAGGUUGUGGGGGAAUACAUUCACGCCUAUGCAGACGUACAUAUGUGGUAUAUCUAGCGGGAUUUAAAUCCACAUCGUCACACCACCACUUAAUUCCACCCUCCCGCAGAGAACUCCGUGGUCAUCGAAAAGACUUGUCCGAGAUAUAUGACACUCAAUAUUUGGUAAUCAAGGAUUGGCCGAGAGAGAGAGAAAGAGACUUUAUGAACGACGCGACGUUGAGAAAAGAGUCGCUUGGAGUGGCCAUUUUUUGAUAGUACAUUAUGCUUAUCAAGGGGAGUCCUAGGGAUUAUAGAAGUUGCCAAAAGAGAGAGGACGAUUUAUUUUUCUCCGUCUCCUCGUUCCGAACUUGUUUGUUCGGUUAGGAAAUCUGCAGACCUGACUCAUCUUUCUUUGCUUUUCCAAUUUCGCUCCGACAAGCUCUCCGAGAUGAAUCAUGAUCAGAAUUUCGUUUCUUCCCUGCCAUUCUUUGUGAUUCUUGGCUGGAAUACUCGUCGAUAAUCGAAUUGUCUCCUUCUGGGUACACCUCGAUGUUUGGCCCGCCGGCAACUGAUUUUUUUGUUCCCAUUCUUGGAGAAGAAGCUAGUGCAGUGCCACUUCUUAUCUUUCUAUCCUCAUGUUCCUUAGGAACCAAAAUCCCAGGGUUGCCCAUUCGAAUCCAUUCAUUCAUUUGAACCUUUUCGAGUUUUUAUUGGGGAUGGAACUGUGUAUGUCAGCAAUAUACGUAGAAGAUUCCCCUCCCUUAAUCAAAGCCCACUCAUAUUAUCACAAUCAAACGAGGAAUACUAAAAAAGUUGCAUGUCUACUCAAGAAGGAUAAAAAUGAGGAGGCGGAAGCCAAUCUCCAAGUUCUUAAAGAGAUCAUCAAAUCUAACUUUUUCCAGGCCAGUGAUCACUGAUCAGAGAGUGGGCAAAAAACUUCGAGAUCAACUCUCUUCCUCUGCAUCCUUGCCUUCUUGGAUGUCUGUGAUGUACGCUUAGGAAUCAGGAUCAUCUUCAUUAGUCGCGACAUCAGAUCAAAAGUGAGGAAAAAAAAUUGCUCGCACUCCCUAACCUCGAACAACUCCGCUUAGUGCACGCUUACCUUUGGGCACCGAGAACAUAUUGACGAGGGUUCGCAUGGCAAGCAUUUGACAGUUGAUGGGCAUUUCGCUCUUCAUGUUGGCCAACAUUAGCGAAAGAAGAUCGUUCAACACAACAUCUUCCAAGAGGACAGGGUUGACGGAUGGAUUGGUAAUGGCUAAUCGAAGGAUAUCCAAGGCAGGGAAAGCCAAAUCUUUGGGCCAUCUUAAAGCUUUCAUCAGACUGGCAACGUCACCGGUGGAACCGUCUAGAAGCAAAUACGUCAAUGAUUGAUACUCUGAUCUUUGUAAAUCUUAAAAGACCAACUCACCAGACGAGCAAAGGGCUGGCAAUCGUUCAAGAAUGGCCUCAUCCACUUUAAGCUCAUCUCCUACUUGAGAAUUGAAUUCCUUCAACUUCUUGACCAUCAUCUCUACUUUGGGUUUGACUGAAAACGCGAGGUAACU
Tigriopus californicus is the source of this 1547-nucleotide long non-coding RNA. RefSeq lists it as uncharacterized. The record is from RefSeq and is a predicted model, not a curated record. The transcript is spliced from 2 exons. Lineage: Eukaryota; Metazoa; Arthropoda; Copepoda; Harpacticoida; Harpacticidae.